Molecule: long non-coding RNA, 204 nt
Filed under: Mytilus galloprovincialis (Mediterranean mussel)
Lineage: Eukaryota; Metazoa; Mollusca; Bivalvia; Mytilida; Mytilidae
Source: RNAcentral
UUGGAUGUCUGAAAGCAUCAUUCUUUUUUUUAUUUGAUGGUCUUAUAAAAUAUUUUGGAACGUUAAGGUUACAUAGUUACCAAAGCAGGUAACCAGUGAAUAACAGUGUUAAAAUUGGGUUGUUAACUUCCGGUGUUGGUUACUUUCUUAUAUGCAAUUAAAUGUAGUGUGAAAUGUUCACUGUAUCACUGGAAAGGAUUAAAC